UGUAAGUGAGAAAGAACUAAUGUUAGAAUAUAAUGGUUCAAAAAUAUUUUUCUCUAAAAUCUUUUAACAAAAAAAAAAUGGUUCAAGAAACUACUAAAAUGUUAUUUAUUAUUUGUUAAAAACACUAAACAUUAUAGGAGUAUCAAUUAAUAGUCUACUAUUCAUCUAAACUUUUUAUGCAGGACUAAACAAAAAUAUGUUUUUCUUAAAAAUAAAAUAUUGUAUAUAAUAUGUUGAUAAAAAUAUCAUUAAAUAGCAUAGGCCACUAUUUAUA
Molecule: long non-coding RNA, 274 nt
Filed under: Brassica napus (rape)
Lineage: Eukaryota; Viridiplantae; Streptophyta; Magnoliopsida; Brassicales; Brassicaceae
Description: long non-coding RNA (BNAP_LNC013677)
Source: RNAcentral